GAUGAACGCUAGCGAUAGGCCUAACACAUGCAAGUCGAGGGGCAUCACAUGAAGUAGCAAUACGGAUGGUGGCGACCGGCGCACGGGUGAGUAACACGUAUGCAACCUGCCUUCAACAAGGGGAUAACCCGUUGAAAGACGGACUAAUACCCUAUAACACAGGGGUCCCGCAUGGGAAUAUUUGUUAAAGGACAACCGGUUGAAGAUGGGCAUGCGUUCCAUUAGCUAGUUGGCGGGGUAACGGCCCACCAAGGCAACGAUGGAUAGGGGAACUGAGAGGUUUAUCCCCCACACUGGUACUGAGACACGGACCAGACUCCUACGGGAGGCAGCAGUGAGGAAUAUUGGUCAAUGGACGAGAGUCUGAACCAGCCAAGUCGCGUGCAGGAAGAAUGUCCUAUGGAUUGUAAACUGCUUUUGCAGGGGAAUAAAGUGCAUCACGUGUGAUGUUUUGCAUGUACUCUGCGAAUAAGGAUCGGCUAACUCCGUG
Molecule: ribosomal RNA, 490 nt
Filed under: uncultured bacterium
Lineage: Bacteria
Description: bacterial SSU rRNA
Rfam family: Bacterial small subunit ribosomal RNA
Source: RNAcentral